RNAcentral lists this ribosomal RNA (472 nucleotides) under uncultured bacterium. Its description in RNAcentral is "partial 16S ribosomal RNA". It matches the Rfam family "Bacterial small subunit ribosomal RNA", at positions 28 to 507 of the family's 1533-position model. The record is from RNAcentral.
GACGAACGCUGGCGGCGUGCUUAACACAUGCAAGUCGAACGCUGAAGCUUGGUGCUUGCACCGGGUGGAUGAGUGGCGCACGGGUGAGUAACACGUGAGUAACCUGCCUUUGACUCUGGGAUAAGCCCGGGAAACUGGGUCUAAUACUGGAUACUACAUGCCACUGCAUGGUGGUUUGUGGAAAGCCUUUUACUCGUUCUGGAUGUGCUCACGGCCCAUCAACUUAAUGGUUGUGUAAUGGCCCACCAACUCGACGACGGGUAGCCGGCCUGAGACGGUCAACAGGGACCAGACGACUAAAGCACGGCGCAGACUACUACAGGCGGCAACGGGCGGGACUAUAACAGAAUAAGCGGAAGUGAGGGGCGAAGACGCCGCGUGAGGGAUGACGGCCUACGGGUUAUGAACCUAUGUCAACGCGACAGAAGCCAGAGUGACGGUACCUGAAAAGGAAGCCACGGCUAACUACGUG